UCCCUGGUGGUCCAGUGGCCAAGACUCUGCACUUCCAAAGCAGGGGACCCAGGUUCAACCCCUGGUCAGGUGU
This 73-nucleotide transfer RNA is filed under the name Ovis aries (sheep). It matches the Rfam family "tRNA". From Rfam's summary of the family: Transfer RNA (tRNA) molecules are approximately 80 nucleotides in length. The record is from Rfam by way of RNAcentral. Lineage: Eukaryota; Metazoa; Chordata; Mammalia; Artiodactyla; Bovidae.